RNAcentral lists this long non-coding RNA (357 nucleotides) under Medicago truncatula (barrel medic). RNAcentral's name for it is "long non-coding RNA (MTRU_LNC005008)". Lineage: Eukaryota; Viridiplantae; Streptophyta; Magnoliopsida; Fabales; Fabaceae. The record is from RNAcentral.
AGGCUUCAUCUCCAUAUAAUACCCAAACUGUCGUCUCGCAAGAAUUGGGCUGUAGCUAAUUCCUCCCUGCGUACCAAGAAGAGGUACAUUGUUGAAGUCACCACAACUGUCAAUAAUAAACUCUGGGUCACAAGAUGGGUUGAACCAGAUUAUGUCCUUUGGGGUCCAAGUCAUGAGCUUUUGGGACCAAGGGAUAGGUUCUGGUCUAAUACUGGGACGGGGUAAGUGUGAAGUAAUCCAGCGGUGGAGUAAAGGUGUACAACAGACGAUGGUCCCCUUUCCAUGACUAGUGCGAUCAUGAAUAGCAACAUACGUGUCAGCGAGUAAAACAGGAACCGGGUUUUGGGUUAAGAAGAU